Cryptotermes secundus is the source of this 1062-nucleotide long non-coding RNA. RefSeq lists it as uncharacterized. The transcript is spliced from 3 exons. The record is from RefSeq and is a predicted model, not a curated record. Lineage: Eukaryota; Metazoa; Arthropoda; Insecta; Blattodea; Kalotermitidae.
UUGGUUCUAAGGUAAAUAUUAUACUGUGCAACUACAAGCUGGGAAUUUCCCGAUGCAGAUGUUGGUAUCCACUGAUACUCAAGAUGGAUGACAUGAAUUCAUAACAGAGAAACUGCAGAUCGUUUCAAUAGUUUUAUUGAAUUUUGAGUAUGUAGACAGUAUGAAUACUGAUGGACGUGUUCGCAUUAAUGUUAAAUCUUAUCGUAGUAUAUUACUUUCUUUGAAAUACACGUUUUAAAGAAUACAACACGUGUUUCGUUCUGUGCAAUGGUAGUGUGUUUAAAUAGUCUGUAAUACGUAAUAUAUUUGUGAUUUAUAAGAUAUUCCGUGUUUUCCCACACAACGUCAUGGAGUUAGUCAUGCAAGUAUGAGUGGUGUGUUGUAGUGUUCUUGAUCAUGAUAGAAAUAUAUCAGGGAAUCGAACGAAAAACAAGAAGGUUUUGUAGAGAUGACUACAUGCAACUCUAAGUCACGCGUGUUGAAAUGUGAGGAGUGUGUGAAGCGAUGUGUAAAUGUGCCCAACAGCGAACAAUUUUGAACAGCCCUAACCCAACCCACAGUAUGUAUAGGAAACUUGCCCCAACAACCCUGGGUGAAUGUGGCGGAGCCCCAGUGACAAAAUUAUUUGUAUAGCGAAAUAUGUUAAAUUGUGGGAAUUUUAAAUGAUUAUAGUGUGUUAUUAAGUUAGUCCGCCACACAUCUCAUACGAUCUGAACUGGAAUCGAACCCUAGCCGCCCUGCGAUUGGAAGCCUGCGAGUGGCUGAGCUAUGACAUUCAUCUAUGCGGAAUUAAUGAAGCCCCAUGCCAUGAAGGCGUGUAGGGAACGGAAGUAAAGCUCCACCAUCUCUAACCUGCGCUGGAGGUGAGUGCUGGCUACGAGUAUUUUGGUGUGUGGAUGUAGCUUGACAAAACCGGAAGUAGUUUGGAUUGGGAGCGGAAACUGCGGAGUCGAUGUAGGAGAAACUAUUGGUACAGUGUGAGGUCAUUCCAGCAAUGAUGUAAGAGACCUCUGAGGACAGAAGUAAUUAAAUGACUGGCGAUUUCCACUUGGAUAAGCAUUG